CGCGGGGCUCAGGGCUGUGGCCCUCGGGCUUCCUCCCAGCUCCCGUCUCAGGUCUGCAACAGGGGAAACAUCAUGACCACUAAGGCGGUUUUCCUAGUUGCAGGGCAAGACCACUUUCUUGGCAGGGGGCAGUGCCCCGGUAAUGCAGUUAGCCUCCCACUUUCACUUCCAGGGGGAAGAUCGUGGCUUUGCACCAACUUCAUGGAAAUGGGAGUCUUCUCCCUACUUUUCACCUUCAGCCGAUGGCUAAGGGCAAGCGAAGCUCGGGAGCAUCCAAACCCCAAACCUCCGGGCUUUGGUCUGCAUGGAGGAUGCUUGCUGAUGUGACGGGCUGGCUGGCAGUGACCUAGCCCAGGGGUUUUGAAGGGGUAGAAGAUGAUUGGAGGACUUGGGAUUCCCUUUCCUCACCAAUCAGGCCCCAGAGACUCACCCUCUGUGUCCCCUGAUUGGCCCCUUGGGUCACCUGGAGGGGGAUAAAAGGGACUCAGGAGAGACCAGUAUGAAGGAGCUUCAAGGAGCUGGUAGGAUCUGGCCCAACAGGGCGGGAGCAGUUGCCCCAGAAGCCCCUGAAGGAGCAGGACCUGCGGGCAGCAGUUGGACCCUCAGCAGCACGGCGUGUGGCCGGCAGGAGAGGUUCCUGCUGGGCUCCAGGAUCCCCUAGGAGAGGCUGUGGCCAGCAUGAGAGGCUCCCCCCGCCCCCCAGCUCAGCAAGGAUCAGAGCAGCGACCUGAGAGGUUCCCAGCUCGGCUUCCAGCUCCUCCAGUCUGAGCCCAGGCAGCUCGACGUGAGGCCGGGGCUCCAGGAAGGCCAAGACCCCUCGCAGCCUGGCCCAGCCCCAGCAGUGCUUACUGUGUGGUAGAGUUUGUGCUUCCCACCUGGCAGGUCUGAGAUCAAAUCCCAGCUGUGGGGACUUGGGUAUUGUUUGCUCUGCUGUUCGUGUUCUACGUGUCGGCUAACCCUGUCUUUUGUCAACUGGAUGAAUGUCUAUGAUGGUAAGUGUCUAACCUCUGUUGAGUCCUGCCCCCUUGGGGCACUGUAGUGUCCCCUAUACCCCCUGAUUGUGCCUGUUAUGUUCCCAGUAUUGUUCCCUCAUUAACAGGUAUAUGGUUAAGUC
Alligator mississippiensis (American alligator) is the source of this 1114-nucleotide long non-coding RNA. RefSeq lists it as uncharacterized. NCBI's taxonomy places the organism in Eukaryota, Metazoa, Chordata, Crocodylia, Alligatoridae. The transcript has 2 exons. The record is from RefSeq and is a predicted model, not a curated record.